AGGAAGAGUUGUGCAGUUGCCCAUAGCAACCAAUCAGAUCGCUUCUUUCAUUUUGCAGAGGCAUGGCUCAUAGGAAGGUUUUCCAAAACAUCAAUUGAAGAUGGCUGACUGGUGAGUGACAUCUGCUGAAGCAAGUGGCAACCACAGCAAUAAGCAAGAUACUGGCUAUUAGACACCAGCCAAGAACCUGGAAAUAGAAAAAUACUAGUUUAAAACAGUGUUUCUACUACCAUGAGGAAUUUGCCUGUCCUGUCACUUCAGCUGUGGCUUCUUGUGUGGGCACCAUCUCUGUAUUACAGUGCCUGCAGCAGGAGCUCAGAGUAAAUGAGCCACAGAUAGCUAAGUCCCAGCAGCUGUGGGAAACUAUAGAGAGCUCCAUUAACACCAUCAAUAGAGGUUUCCUCAAAAGGCAAGUCUACAUUGUGGAAAAAAGUUGCUGUUGCCUCCAAAGUACUACUACGGUCUAGGUGUAUAUGGUCAACAAGUAGCAGCAGUUGUGGAUGGAGUAGGA
Hyla sarda is the source of this 511-nucleotide long non-coding RNA. RefSeq lists it as uncharacterized. The transcript has 4 exons. NCBI's taxonomy places the organism in Eukaryota, Metazoa, Chordata, Amphibia, Anura, Hylidae. The record is from RefSeq and is a predicted model, not a curated record.